CUUCGGAUUGGUUGAUGGGUGGGCGGAUCGCCUCCUCACUGAGCUCAAAGGGAAGUCAGAGUGCAAAUUGGUGUGCAAAGGCCUUCUCAGAGGUGUCUCGUGACACCUCACUCAAGGAUGUAAAUUUGCUUCUGGUGACUGCCAGCAUUCCUUGACUUGUGACUUCAUCACUUCAAUCUUCAAGGAAGAUCAGUAUCUUGAAAUCUCUCUCUACUCUGUCUUCACAUUGCCUUUCUCCUCUGUGUGUAGAAUCUUCUCUGCCUCCCUCUUAAGGGAUAGAUGUAAUUGCAUUAUGGGCCUACUCCUAUAAUCCAGGAUAAUCUCCCCGUAUCAAGACAAUGAACUUAAUCAUAGAUGCUCAAUUGAAUCAUAGAUUCUUAACUUAAUCAUGGAUCCUUAACUGAAUCGUUAGUUUCUGUUAAGAAUCUUAGCUGUGAAGACUUUGCCACGUAAGGUAACAUUUACGGGUUCCAGGUUUUAUGACCUGAUAUCUUUGGACACCAUUAUUUAGUUGACUAUAGAGAAUAAGAGAAGAUAAAAGUGAGGACUAGCAGGGACAAGAGAAUGAGAGAGGACUCAAGCACAUCUGCUCAGUUUCUCCUCCAAGUUUGUCAGUCAGAUCCCUUCUCUACCAUUUUCCAUUCUGCUCUGUGUCCCAGAGGAGUACAGGAGGUUAGGAGGCUGACUUUAACAGACUGCAUCAAUGGGCUCUCUUGUCGUCUGGCUUGGAGUUCAGUGAUGUCUGAGAUCAGAAGAUCAGAAAACAGGAGGAGAGUGAGUUCAUGGUCUUCAUUUCUCCAUCUUCCUUCCUGUUGGUUGCCAUAGGCUGCCCAAGUUUGUCCACUGAAGAAUACAGUUCCUGCUGUGUGUGUGUUCAGUUACUCCAGUUGGGUAUGCCAUCUGUUUCCAGCAUGGAUGGGGACCGUUAUAAGAGGCAACUGCAAUAUUUCAAGUAGGAGAUGGUGAUAAGCAAUGGAAGUGGAAACAAGUGGCUGGACUCCUGCUUAUAUUUUGAAGGAAAAGCUGAUAGAAUUUGUUGAUGGAUGAGAAGUGGUGUGUGAGAGAAGGGAAAGAUUUAGGAGUGACUCCAAGGCUAUGGGCUUGAGCAGCUGGAAGGAUGGAGUUGCCACUUAAUGGACUGGAAAGUCUUCCUGAAGAGCAAAUUGAGGGUGGGAGCUUUUGUCAUGUGAAGUUUGAAGUAUCAACUAGAUAUCUAAGGAAUGUUUUCAAGUAGGCAUUUGGAUAUACAAGUCUGGUGUCAAGAGAGAGAUCUUGAAGUCAUCAGCUCAUAGAUGGUCUUUAAGGCCAUGGAACAGAUGACAUCGUCCAUUGCGUGAGUGGAGAGAGAAGAGAAAUAAGGGCUGUGUUUUGGGAUCAUCUAUAUUUGAAAUUUGAGGGGGUGAGGAAAACCCCAGAAAAUUGGACUGAAAGGGGUGACCAGAAACCAGGUGCGGGUGGUGUCCUGGAAGCCAAAUGCAGAAAAUAUUCAAUGGAGAAACUGUGUAAAAAUGAUGCUAAUAGUCAAAUAAAAGAACAACUGAGUAUUGACUACUAGAGAUCAUUGGUGAUAUUUAUGAGAAGAGUUUCUGAGACAUGAUGGAGACAAAAGUCUGAUUGGAGUGGAUUCAAGAAAGGAUGGGAGGAGAAAGAGUGGACAUAUAGGUUAUAAGAAAUCUCUUCCAAUGAAUUUUGCUGAAAAGGGAAUUAGAGAAAUAGGGCAGUACCCAGAGGGAGAAGCAGUAUAAGGAGAGUUUUUUCGUUUUUGUUUUUUUAAGAUGGAAGAAAUAAAAGCAUGUUUAUCUGCUAUAGGAAUGAUCCUAUAAAGGGGGAAAAUUUGACAGAAUUCAUUGAGUCAUGUAAUUUAAGAAUGAGAAGAAAAUGUAGGACCAUUUUUUCCCCCAAUCGCUUUGUUUUAUUAGUGAGGAAACUGGGCCUCAGAGGGGUUGACUAACUUUCCUGAAGCCCUAACAGAGUCCGGUAAUUGCUCACCCUUUUUGUCCACUUUCCACAUGUGUAUAAUGUUAGCGUCAUAAGAUGAGAGGGUCGUCAAAUUGUCUUUCCCUGUAUUUCCUUACCACUUUGUUUAGGAAUUAUCUUAGAUUUGGAUUAAUGGGAUCUAACUUCCUGACUAGCAGCCAUUUAGCCCAGGGAAUCUUUUGUAGGCAGCUGCUCACGUAAUGCUAUAUGUACAACUAAAUGGCACUCAAUAAAUAUGUCCUUCCCUUCCCUUAUCCUUCAUUCCACUCCUUUUUAUUCUCUCUAAUGAUCUCCUUUCCUCCAGUGAUUCUGCCAUGACCUGGCAAUCUACCAUUGGGAAUUCAUCCUAUUGUCUCCUGUUUGGAUAUGAAUAUUCUUGGUAAAUGAUCAUACUGAGCUAUGAUCAGCAGACUCCUCUGUGAAAUGUUUUAAGAGAUCCUUUCGGUGUUGUAACUAGCAAAAGGAAUACUUUAUUUGGAGUGCAGAAAGGAAAGAAGAGAAAAGAGAUUUAGAGAAGAGGGACUGAAGACAGGCCCUGUGGGAGUCACAUGAGGACCUAGGCAGGGGGGAAGCAGAAGAGAUCCUGGGAAGUGGGAAGGGAAGGCCCAAGGUCCACCCACUCUUUCCUCCAGUCCAGUGGCUCAUCUGCUUCUAAGUCAGGUGACCCGCCCUUCCCUGUGGCUAUUAUAAAAUAAUUUAUAACUGUUUCUCCUGUGAUUUUCUCUCCCCUUUUCUCAGCUUGCUUCAUUUUUUUCUCACUGCAUCUGUUUUAAUCUGACUUCCUGCUUUUCUUUCUAAUUACAAGAACUGUUGUCCUCGUUUAGUCUGGAGCAUGUGAGUGAAGGGCCACUCAGAGAGUUGCAAUGUGUUUGACCAGAGUGACAGCACCCAGGAGGCGUGUAUUUCUAAAUAAAGACUCUGCUCUCUUCUCAGGCUGUGAGGAAGGAAAGUUGAGGCACGGAGGAUUUCAGGGGAAACUUGGAAAUUGGA
Long non-coding RNA from Equus quagga, 2967 nucleotides. RefSeq lists it as uncharacterized. Lineage: Eukaryota; Metazoa; Chordata; Mammalia; Perissodactyla; Equidae. The record is from RefSeq and is a predicted model, not a curated record. The transcript has 5 exons.